CUUCCAGUAGCACCUUAGAAACCAACUAAGUUUGUUACUGGUAUGAGACAAAUUUAGUUGGUCUCUAAGGUGCUACUGGAAG
Non-coding RNA from Podarcis lilfordi (Lilford's wall lizard), 82 nucleotides. NCBI's taxonomy places the organism in Eukaryota, Metazoa, Chordata, Lepidosauria, Squamata, Lacertidae. The record is from the annotation of a GenBank genome assembly.